AAGACUGGUGCUUGCACUAGUCAGAUGAGUUGCGAACGGGUGAGUAACGCGUAGGUAACCUACCUUAUAGCGGGGGAUAACUAUUGGAAACGAUAGCUAAUACCGCAUGACAAUUAAGUACUCAUGUACUAAAUUUAAAAGGAGCAAUUGCUUCACUAUGAGAUGGACCUGCGUUGUAUUAGCUAGUUGGUGAGGUAACGGCUCACCAAGGCCACGAUACAUAGCCGACCUGAGAGGGUGAUCGGCCACACUGGGACUGAGACACGGCCCAGACUCCUACGGGAGGCAGCAGUAGGGAAUCUUCGGCAAUGGGGGCAACCCUGACCGAGCAACGCCGCGUGAGUGAAGAAGGUUUUCGGAUCGUAAAGCUCUGUUGUUAGAGAAGAACGGUAAUGGGAGUGGAAAAUCCAUUACGUGACGGUAACUAACCAGAAAGGGACGGCUAACUACGUGCCAGCAGCCGCGGUAAUACGUAGGUCUCGAGCGUUGUCCGGAUUUAUUGGGCGUAAAGCGAGCGCAGGCGGUUAUUUAAGUCUGAAGUUAAAGGCCGUGGCUCAACCAUGGUUCGCUUUGGAAACUGGAUAACUUGAGUGCAGAAGGGGAGAGUGGAAUUCCAUGUGUAGCGGUGAAAUGCGUAGAUAUAUGGAGGAACACCGGUGGCGAAAGCGGCUCUCUGGUCUGUAACUGACGCUGAGGCUCGAAAGCGUGGGGAGCAAACAGGAUUAGAUACCCUGGUAGUCCACGCCGUAAACGAUGAGUGCUAGGUGUUAGGCCCUUUCCGGGGCUUAGUGCCGCAGCUAACGCAUUAAGCACUCCGCCUGGGGAGUACGACCGCAAGGUUGAAACUCAA
This 850-nucleotide ribosomal RNA is filed under the name Streptococcus parauberis. Its description in RNAcentral is "bacterial SSU rRNA". It matches the Rfam family "Bacterial small subunit ribosomal RNA", at positions 69 to 904 of the family's 1533-position model. Lineage: Bacteria; Bacillati; Bacillota; Bacilli; Lactobacillales; Streptococcaceae. The record is from RNAcentral.